Zingiber officinale is the source of this 618-nucleotide long non-coding RNA. RefSeq lists it as uncharacterized. NCBI's taxonomy places the organism in Eukaryota, Viridiplantae, Streptophyta, Magnoliopsida, Zingiberales, Zingiberaceae. The record is from RefSeq and is a predicted model, not a curated record. The transcript is spliced from 2 exons.
AGCAAUUUCCUUGAGAUCUGAACUUUUGCAGCCAUUUUUUACUUGAAGCUUGUCUCAAGACCUUAUUCCAUCACCAUCUGGGAGUGCCCUUCUACCAUAACAAGAACAACAGAGUGCCAUGAACAUUCUCUUCCAAGCAUCAGAAUGAAGAACAAUUUUUUACGUUAGAUUGAUGUCGUGCACAACAUGUCCUUAACGAGGUUGUAAGAUUAGAACUUGGACAACUAGAAGAUCGAUAAGGCUUUCGAGGAUAUUGCUCGAAAGACUCUACUCGACAGAAUUAGCAUGUUUUCUUCAAUAGAAAAUGAUCAAUCAUACAGACUGAGAUAAGAAGGUAAUACUUGAGCAUUGCAGGAUUAAUCUUGCAUGACUCUUACAAGUUACAAGGCUGGUGGUACAUUCAAAAGGAUAUACACUGCAAAAUCAAAAGGAUAUUUAAGAAUGUUAAAAUUUAAGGUUUUCCAGGGUUCCUGGGAUCAUGGCGGCUGUUUGCCCCAGAACCCGGGUAGUCGUUGACCUCAAUCUCCAUCCUUGCCAGAGUCUGUUCUGAAACCACCACUGCUGCUUCAUCUUGGUUUCUCAAUGCAAGGCUUCCUGCAACAACAACCGGAUAUGGGA